RNAcentral lists this transfer RNA (73 nucleotides) under Felis catus (domestic cat). It matches the Rfam family "tRNA". From Rfam's summary of the family: Transfer RNA (tRNA) molecules are approximately 80 nucleotides in length. Their secondary structure includes four short double-helical elements and three loops (D, anti-codon, and T loops). Further hydrogen bonds mediate the characteristic L-shaped molecular structure. tRNAs have two regions of fundamental functional importance: the anti-codon, which is responsible for specific mRNA codon recognition, and the 3' end, to which the tRNAs corresponding amino acid is attached (by aminoacyl-tRNA synthetases). tRNAs cope with the degeneracy of the genetic code in two manners: having more than one tRNA (with a specific anti-codon) for a particular amino acid; and 'wobble' base-pairing, i.e. permitting non-standard base-pairing at the 3rd anti-codon position. The record is from Rfam by way of RNAcentral. Lineage: Eukaryota; Metazoa; Chordata; Mammalia; Carnivora; Felidae. RNAcentral also lists the same sequence under 1 other name.
ACCUUGAUGGCUCAGUUGGUAGAGCAUGAGACUCUUGAUCUCAGAAUUGUGAGUUUGAGCCACACGUUAGGUG